RNAcentral lists this ribosomal RNA (253 nucleotides) under uncultured bacterium. Its description in RNAcentral is "partial 16S ribosomal RNA". It matches the Rfam family "Bacterial small subunit ribosomal RNA", at positions 524 to 776 of the family's 1533-position model. The record is from RNAcentral.
UACGUAGGUGGCAAGCGUUGUCCGGGUUUACUGGGCGUAAAGCGCACGCAGGUGGUCUGUCUAGUCCAGGGUGAAAUCUCCCGGCUCAACCGGGAGAGGUCUCUGGAUACUGGCAGGCUUGAGGGCAGCAGAGGAGAGCAGAAUUCCCGGUGUAGCGGUGAUAUGCGUAGAUAUCGGGAGGAAUACCAGUGGCGAAGGCGGCUCUCUGGGCUGUCCCUGACGCUGAGGUGCGAAAGCGUGGGGAGCGAACAGG